GGGUAUUGGUUCCAAGGCAGAAGAGCAGGAAGGGCUAGGCAAUGGGGUUAAGUGACUUGCCCAGGGUCACACAGCUAGGAAGUAUCUGAGCAUAGAUUGGAACCCAGGACCUCCUGUCUCUGGGCCUGUCCCCCCCCAAUGUGGACAACAUUGGUGUUUAAAGAAUAAACAAAAUAAAACCCAACAACUCUACAAGUACCCGUUUGGGAAGGUACGCCACAGCAGAGAAGAAAAGGUACUGGAGGUAAUAGGGAGCCCCUGGAGUUUAUUGAGGAAGGGGAACAACACGGUCAGACCUACAUUUUAGGAAGAUUGGCAGCUGAGCGGAGAACUCACUGGAGUGAAGAAGACUGGAGUCGGGACACCAACCAUCAGGCUGUUGAAAUUAUUUGCAGGCACCCUGCUGCUUCUGAGACCCCCCCCAGGGGAAAUGACUUGUCCAAGGUCCCCUAGACACAGCCUGCGUCUACCUUGAGACAAAGGGAAGCUCAGAUUUGAGAGCAGGGCUCCCCCCGGACCUCCACCCCAACCCUCGUCGGCCCCGUCGCGUCCCCGCGGCUCCAAAGAGGACGACACAAAGACAUUGCAGCCGGCAGCGUGCCUGCCCCGCCAUACUCCCCCCACCCCCACCCCGCAAACCUACUCUCUCCGCCCUCCCCCUCCCACCCCGGGGCAGCGCCUGUGUGUAAUUUGUCAGGACCGCUUGGCUUCCGCGAUCUGUACCUCAUGUCUCCGCUGUCAUCUGACAUAAUUCCUCCUCGCUGGCAUAUUGGAGGAGGAGGAAGAGGCAGCUUCCCGAGUCUUCAGCCCGCGCUGGCUCGCCUGGGCUCACUAACUUGCUUUGGACCGUGUGCCCCGGGGCGAGCCGGACACUUCACUCCCAGCUGAGGGGAGAGCACCUGGCUCCAAAUGCGCUGCAAAGAGCUCGGGGCCAGGAGGUGCAGGACCUCGCGCGGAAUCCCGCCCGCCACCGGUGCCAACGGCCCCUCGGACAUUUGGGUCGUCUGGAAAACCGGGGAGGGAGACGGCACAAAACAUCCCGCAUUCCGUCCGACCCCCCUUCCUUCCAGUUCCGAAAUUCUUUGUGUAAACGACGUGUUCUCGAGCCCCUCCCAGCUCAGCUAGUUCAUACUGCGUUCUUUGUUGCAAGAACCCAGGCAAUAAUUCUCAAUGAACUUGAUGAACUUUGGGUGAGAUCCCCUCCGUCUCCCUUGCCCCAAGCUUGGGUCUUAGUUUUCCCAUCUGCAAAAUGAGUGAAGUUGUACUAGAUAAUCUCGAAGGGCUCUUCUAGCUCAAACGUUCUAGGUUCCAACGUUCUAUGUUCAAAGGUCUCUUUUGCCUCUGCCUUUCUUUGUUAAAACAAUCCUUUUCCCAAAGACCCUGGUCGAAGCUCUGACAUUGGAGGUCCUUUGUUUUAACAUUCUGAGAAAUUCUUUGACUAACUUGUUUCAUUAACUUGGAGAGAGGGGUUUUCGUAUGGUUUGC
This 1485-nucleotide long non-coding RNA is filed under the name Monodelphis domestica (gray short-tailed opossum). RNAcentral describes it as "lncRNA (ENSMODG00000046822.1)". The record is from RNAcentral. Lineage: Eukaryota; Metazoa; Chordata; Mammalia; Didelphimorphia; Didelphidae.